RNAcentral lists this ribosomal RNA (253 nucleotides) under uncultured bacterium. Its description in RNAcentral is "partial 16S ribosomal RNA". It matches the Rfam family "Bacterial small subunit ribosomal RNA", at positions 524 to 776 of the family's 1533-position model. The record is from RNAcentral.
UACGGGGGGGGCAAGCGUUGUUCGGAAUUACUGGGCGUAAAGAGUGUGUAGGCGGUGCUCUAAGUUCGGUGUGAAAUCUCCCGGCUUAACUGGGAGGGUGCGCCGGAAACUGGAGUGCUCGAGCGUGGGAGAGGAAAGCGGAAUUCCUGGUGUAGCGGUGAAAUGCGUAGAUAUCAGGAGGAACACCGGUGGUGUAGACGGCUUUCUGGACCAUAGCUGACGCUGAGACACGAAAGCGUGGGUAGCAAACAGG